This 620-nucleotide ribosomal RNA is filed under the name Pristimantis sp. DHMECN 13327. RNAcentral's name for it is "partial large subunit ribosomal RNA". It matches the Rfam family "Bacterial large subunit ribosomal RNA", at positions 1660 to 2564 of the family's 2925-position model. The record is from RNAcentral. Lineage: Eukaryota; Metazoa; Chordata; Amphibia; Anura; Strabomantidae.
CUGUUAACCUAAUACCAGAACACUUCAAGAAAGAUUAAAAGAAAGAGAAGGAAUUCGGCAAAUAUUAGUCCCGCCUGUUUACCAAAAACACCGCCUCUUGGCCCCCCAUAAGAGGUCUAGCCUGCCCAGUGACUUCUGUUCAACGGCCGCGGUAUCCUAACCGUGCAAAGGUAGCGUAAUCACUUGUCUUCUAAAUAAAGACCAGUAUGAAAGGCAUCACGAGGACUAAACUGUCUCCUCUCCCUAAUCAGUGAACCUAAUAACCCCGUGAAGAAGCGGGGAUUUUUAUAUAAGACGAGAAGACCCUAUGGAGCUUAAAACAUCAUAACACCUGCCACACACCUAUUUACCCCGGUUCUCCUCCCCGUGACACCCUGAUUAUAUGUUUUUGGUUGGGGUGACCGCGGAGAAAAACCCAUCCUCCACAAUGAAAGGGACUUCCCUAAACAGUAGGCCACAGCUUUAUGUAUCAGCAAACUGACAUCCAUUGACCCAAUAUAUUUGAUUAACGAACCAAGUUACCCUAGGGAUAACAGCGCAAUCCACUUUGAGAGCCCCUAUCGACAAGUGGGCUUACGACCUCGAUGUUGGAUCGGGGUAUCCUAGUGGUGCAGCCGCUA